GCCUGGGUGGCUCAGUUGGUUGAGCAUCUGACUCCAGUUCAGGUCCUGAUCUCACAGUUCGUGAGUUCAAGCCCCACGUCAGGCU
Non-coding RNA from Felis catus (domestic cat), 85 nucleotides. NCBI's taxonomy places the organism in Eukaryota, Metazoa, Chordata, Mammalia, Carnivora, Felidae. The record is from the annotation of a RefSeq genome assembly.